Molecule: ribosomal RNA, 251 nt
Filed under: uncultured bacterium
Lineage: Bacteria
Description: partial 16S ribosomal RNA
Rfam family: Bacterial small subunit ribosomal RNA
Source: RNAcentral
UACGUAGGGUGCAAGCGUUGUCCGGAAUUAUUGGGCGUAAAGAGCUCGUAGCGGUUUGUUGCGUCGGCUGUGAAAUCCCGAGGCUCAACCUCGGGUCUGCAGUCGAUACGAGCAAACUAGAGUGUUGCAGGGGAGACUGGAAUUCCUGGUGUAGCGGUGAAAUGCGCAGAUAUCAGGAGGAACACCGGUGGCGAAGGCGGGUCUCUGGGCAACAACUGACGUGAGGAGCGAAAGCGUGGGGAGCGAACAGG